GUGUUGUGGUGUAGUUGGUUAUCACGUUUAUCUUGCAAUUAAAGGUCCCUAAUUCGAAUUUGGGCCUAUACA
This 72-nucleotide transfer RNA is filed under the name Amborella trichopoda. It matches the Rfam family "tRNA". From Rfam's summary of the family: Transfer RNA (tRNA) molecules are approximately 80 nucleotides in length. Their secondary structure includes four short double-helical elements and three loops (D, anti-codon, and T loops). The record is from Rfam by way of RNAcentral. Lineage: Eukaryota; Viridiplantae; Streptophyta; Magnoliopsida; Amborellales; Amborellaceae.